GCCCCGGUAGCUCAGUGGAUAGAGCAACCGCCUCCUAAGCGGUAGGUCGCGCGUUCGAUUCGCGCUCGGGGCA
RNAcentral lists this transfer RNA (73 nucleotides) under Acidithiobacillus sulfuriphilus. It matches the Rfam family "tRNA". Rfam says of the family: Transfer RNA (tRNA) molecules are approximately 80 nucleotides in length. Lineage: Bacteria; Pseudomonadati; Pseudomonadota; Acidithiobacillia; Acidithiobacillales; Acidithiobacillaceae. The record is from Rfam by way of RNAcentral. RNAcentral also lists the same sequence under 1 other name.